Molecule: long non-coding RNA, 1845 nt
Filed under: Sus scrofa (pig)
Lineage: Eukaryota; Metazoa; Chordata; Mammalia; Artiodactyla; Suidae
Description: lncRNA (ENSSSCG00050045118.1)
Source: RNAcentral
CUCCAUCUUUGCACGUUUGUUGGCCCGGCAAGGCGGAAAUGGUGGCGUAGUAGGUUUUUUGUGUUUUUUUUUUUUCCCCCCCUCCAUCCCCUCCCGCCCACAGGGUUGGGGUUUCUGGCUGUGAGUGAGGUUUCUGGAAAUCUCUGUGGAAAGUUAAUGGUAUCUCUCCUCUACAGGGCUAAGAGGAGUCCCAGGCUUGAUAACACGCUGAACAAAGACCUGUCAUGGAACAGACUCUUGCUGAGAUUUAAACUGGAGAGUUUGUGGAUGUGGAGCUGGGCCAGGAUACACAGAGAAAUGUGGGGGAAGAGGGAAGUCACUGAGAAGAAUCAAGAGAUCUUGGUGCUGCUCUCAUUUGCUGUGUGAUGCUGAUCAAGCAACAUAUUGUCUUUAGGAAUCCUGUUAUAAAAUUUGUCCAACAGAACCUACCUCGCAGAAUUACAGAGAAGAAAAAGAAGAGAGUUCUAUAAACCUGAAGAGCGAUCUUUUCAAAAAAUCAUCAGAAGGAAGGAAUUUGUAGAAAUAAAACUGGAAACAUCCAGAAUCUUGAUGGUGUGCCAAACCAAAUGUCAACUGGAGCUCGACCAAAAACUAAAGUAAGUAGCUUUCUUACAGAAUAUUCCGGGUGGAGUGCCAUGCCCCACUCAUGCCAUGAAGAGAGUGCCACAUUUGCACAUUCUCUUUUACUUUUUGUGUUUUAAAUUAAACGUUAACGUUGUCCUGUUUUUCAUUAUAUCAUGAUUUGUAAUGAAAAACAUACAGUUAAUAUUUAUAAAAUUGGGAAAAAAGGAGGGUGUGACUUUGUUAAGAUAAAAUGAUUAGUCUUUUGUGAUGAGUAGAGUCAUUAGCAGUGGAUUGUAUGCACUUCAAUUAGUUUCUUCACUAUGGGUGAAAAUUCCUGCCAAAGCUGAAGAUCUCCUUGAACUAUUAUUACAAAAGUCUUCCUAUUAUGACAGUAUACACCUCAGUGAUCAGGGUUCCAGAAAAGAGGUGUCAGAUUGGGGACUAUACCUGCAAAACAUUAGCUCUAAACAUUAUAUGUACUUUGUUUAAAAGGUCUACCAAGAUAAAUAAUACCCAGGAAUUUGUGUGUGUGUGUUUGGUAUGUUUUUAAUGAGGAAACAUUGACCAGCCAUUCUUAUAGAUACUUUACAACUUUUAAUCAUCUUUAAAAUUUUUUUCCAAAUCUGAGUUUUUCUUUUUCACAUUUUUUAGUUGAAUCCAAAAGUACAUCUUCAUAAAUUCUGAAGCGUUAGAUACAGAGGGAUUUUAGUAAUAACUUGCAAGAUUUUAUAGAAUUGCUUACAGUUUUUGAUUCUAUGAUUCCAUGACUGCCUUACAGUGUGAAAGAGUAAUAAUAAUUUAGUAAGUAAAUAUGAAGAGCAAAUAUUAUGUGUCUUCCUGGCAGGAAGCAGCAGAAACUUUCUAAAUUACUUCAAAAGAGAUACCUUAAAAGAUUACUUACAAAAGUUUGGGCAAGGUUAAGGGAAAUCAACAACUGUAAGGUGGUUGCCCCGCAAGAUCUUUGGCCUUGGAAGAGGAAUGCAGCUACAGCAAGACCCCAUCUGACAGAGGAGAGGUGGAGGGAGAGAGCCUGCCGUCUCUCUCCCUCCCAGCUUCUACCCUUUCGGAAAAUUAGCUGAACUCAUCAGGACACCAGGAGGGCAGGAGGGAAGGGCACUCACUUACUGUGUUCUUCGGCAACUGAGCCCCACAAAGGAAGAUGGAAAAGAGCAGGGAGUAGUUUUAGAGGGUCAAAUAGAAAAUAUUUGGCACACCUUAAAAAGAGAGUUGUCAGCUACCAUUCUUAAAUAUGUAAUAUGUUCCAGGCACAGUGCUAAGCUC